GUCUAUGGCCAUGCCACCUUGAACAAACCUGAUCCUGUUUGAUCUCGGAAGCUAAGCAGGGUCGGGCUUGGUUAGUACUUGGAUGGGAGACCACCUAGGAAGACCAUGUGUUACAGCAU
Molecule: ribosomal RNA, 119 nt
Filed under: Pteropus alecto (black flying fox)
Lineage: Eukaryota; Metazoa; Chordata; Mammalia; Chiroptera; Pteropodidae
Source: RNAcentral